UCUGGUUGGACUUUCUCAGGAAAGGCAGCUGAACUCAUGACUAGUACCAGUUCCACGGUUACCCUGGAAGUUGCAAAUCAAGACAUCCUCUCUCACUGCCUGUCCACCUUUCUUACCAACCCAUUGUCCUCCAUGGUGCAGAGAGACAGUUCUACAGUGGUGUCUAUGGUUAAGUGCCAGGCAGUGAGAACCCAGGAGUGAUAUUCAGAGGUACAAAGGAUGACCUGCAGGCCUGUCAUCAGUGCCUUGGCGUUUGUGGGACUCAUCCACAGAGGCAUGCAACUCAGAGAACGGUACCCCAACUUGGUGCACAGGAACUCUUUCAGGUGUCACUUGAUUGUCACAGGUUUCUGCUCGGUCAGCAAGGAAGGGAAGCCUAGCCCUGUGCCAGGAAUGACUGCAUAUGGUCAACACACACUACCCUGGAAGACCCGAGAGUUCAAGGACGGCCAACUUUCACUUAAGCAAACUUGUCCACAGACUGCGUGGGUCCCAUCAGCUGAGAGUAGCCUCCACAUUGCAGUGAUGUGCAAACUUCUGCCUUUCAGCCAUGAUGGACUUUAGGAUCUAACCUGAGGACCCUACACAAGGCACAGGUUCUGAGCCUGAUGGAGAGGACUCCUGCUAAACCCAGUGUUCCCAAGAAACUGGCUGUACCGGCAGGGCUAACUGUAGAGGAUUCUCCACGACCCUGAGAACACAAUUUGGAAAUCUCAGGCUUAAUGGAAUGGGAUGUUACAUUUGAAAACAUAAGACUCUGUUCUGCAGCACUUGUGGUUGAUGACCACUUGUGCUAGGACCAGUAGCCCAUGGAAGA
RNAcentral lists this long non-coding RNA (817 nucleotides) under Rattus norvegicus (Norway rat). RNAcentral describes it as "long non-coding RNA NONRATT000231". Lineage: Eukaryota; Metazoa; Chordata; Mammalia; Rodentia; Muridae. The record is from RNAcentral.